CUUAAUUAACAAAGAGAGAGAAUCCAUAUCUCAUUCAUUGUCCUGGAGAGGUGGGUGCUCCUACCUGGAAGAAAAGUAAGAUGCCUGCGGUUCUUGAAGAAGCUAGGAGGUGGAUACUGAGAGAAGGGAAAGAAGGGAAAGGAAAGAACCAAAGGAAAAAGACUCUCAUCUGAAUGCUGAGAAACAUGGGCUGGAUGAAGGGCCUGGCAGGCAGAUUGGAGGCCCUUUGACCUUCUGGACUCAAAAAAGUCAUACAGAGUAGGAGGAACCUAUGGAACGUGCCUGUUACAAUUCCAUGAAAGAACCCACGCAGAAGGUGAAACGCUGGCCAAUUCCAUCCACUGCAGAUGUGUUAGGGAGAUUUCCCUGGCCCUGUCUACUGCUAGCCUUUUCUCUCCAGACAAGGAGCAAUGGUCUAAAACUUAAAUGUAGGAAGGUCCAUGCAAACAUGCAGAAGAACUUCUUUAUGGUAAAGGUGAUGGUGCCUGGAACAGGUUGCCCAGAGAGAUUGUAGAGUCUUCUUCUACGGAGAUAUUCAAUACCUGCCUGGAUGCCUACCUGUGCGACCUGCUGUAGGGAACCUGCUUUAGGAGGGGGGUCAGACUCCAUGAUCUCUUGAGGUCCCUCCCAUCCCCUGCAAUUCUGUGAUUCAG
Molecule: long non-coding RNA, 653 nt
Filed under: Gallus gallus (chicken)
Lineage: Eukaryota; Metazoa; Chordata; Aves; Galliformes; Phasianidae
Description: lncRNA (ENSGALG00010016284.1)
Source: RNAcentral